AGGACGAACGCUGGCGGUGCGCCUAAUGCAUGCAAGUCGAACGGGCGAAGGGGCUUCGGCCCCCUAGCUAGUGGCAGACGGCUGAGUAACACGUAAGUAACCUACCUUGAAGAUUGGGGGAUAAACCAGGGAAACUUGGUCUAAUACCCCGUACGUUCUUCGCUUUAUCUGGGCGGAGAAGAAAGGCUUCGGCCGCUUCUUGACGGGCUUGCGGCCUAUCAUGGUAGUUGGUGGGGUAAUAGCCUACCAAGCCUAAGACGGGUAACCGGUGUGAGAGCACGAACGGUCAGAGGGGGACUGAGACACGGCCCCCACUCCUACGGGAGGCAGCAGCAGGGAAUCUUGCGCAAUGGGCGAAAGCCUGACGCAGCGACACCGCGUGGGGGAAGAAAGCUUUCGAGUUGUAAACCCCUUUUUCCGGGGAAGAGAACGGACUGUACCCGGAGAAUAAGGUUCGGCUAACUACGUGCCAGCAGCCGCGGUAAUACGUAGGAACCGAGCGUUGUCCGGAUUUACUGGGCGUAAAGUGCGCGUAGGCGGUUUGUUAAGUCUCAUGUGAAAUCUCCCGGCUCAACUGGGAGGGGUCAUGGGAAACUGGCAAGCUUGAGGGCAGCAGAGGAGAGUGGAAUUCCCGGAGUAGUGGUGAAAUGCGUAGAUACCGGGAGGAACACCAGAGGCGAAGGCGACUCUCUGGGCUGUACCUGACGCUGAGGCGCGAAAGCGUGGGGAGCAAACCGGAUUAGAUACCCGGGUAGUCCACGCCCUAAACGAUGGAUACUAGAUAUGGGGGGUAUCGACCCCUCCCGUGUCGCAGCUAACGCGAUAAGUAUCCCGCCUGAGGAGUACGGCCGCAAGGCUA
This 859-nucleotide ribosomal RNA is filed under the name uncultured bacterium. RNAcentral's name for it is "bacterial SSU rRNA". It matches the Rfam family "Bacterial small subunit ribosomal RNA", at positions 26 to 896 of the family's 1533-position model. The record is from RNAcentral.